ACUUCCUGUUGACCUUCGACCCGCCACUUCCUGCUGCCUCCCCAAAAAGAGGGAGGGGGGGAAAGAAGCCAGACAGAAGAGGGUAGAACGGAGACGGGGGUGAGCAAAAAAAAGAAAGAAAGAAAGAAAAAAGUUAGCUCCUCCUCUUUCUUCUCCAUCUCCCUCUUUCCUUCUCUCUCACUGGGAAUGUUAACAGCACUCUGCCACGUCAAGCUUACGAGUUGCCGCUGUGCCACCCGGUAGGAACGAGACGAUGCGCUCCGUUUUCCGUCAGAACACGUACGUGUUGCGUUUUCAAGGGAAAAUCUCCGGACUUCGACUCUGGGACAGGCGUUUUUUUGUUUUUUCUCCCCCUCCGAACGAACCUCAGGGCCCGGAGACAGACCCCAACUUCUAGAACUUCUACGAUUCCAAACUUUUCCGGCCUGGCCGUCUGACUUCGAGUGCCGACCCGGCUGAAGCGUCUCGCUCUGACUGGAGACGGGAAGACGGACGGGACGGGGAUGGGUGAAGCGUGAAGAGAAACAUCUGUCCUGAAUCUAGGCAGCUUCGCACUGAAGACGAGUCCUGAGAGGCGUGAAGGACUGGAACGUUUGCGGAGGCAGGACGGAGCGCUGAAAGCACCAUCGCGAGAGCAAGAGCCAUCGCUUCGCACUCGUAAAUGGUAAAAAUCACACACUUAUCUCUAAUCUCUGAAUGAACCUGGUCCAGGAUACGAGCGCACGUGCGUGCAAAUCAAUCCGGGAAUGGAGUAAGAAGGUUGAAACAGAGAGGAUAGUGACCUGUCCCGCCUGCCCAGUGUUCAGACUACCUGUUCAGGAAGUAGCGGUUGUACAGUAGUCUGCACAUUGGUUAGGCUGGGUGGGGAAGCGCGAGAGUCGGCUCUUGACCGAUCGACAACGUGUCAUGCUUUUACUGAUCAACUGUGAUGUCUCAUUCUUUAAUAAAUCCAUCCAAUUAAACAUGAAAUGUGUUGUUUUUUUUUUUGUUUAAAUAAACAAAUGUUAUUAUUAUAACCCUCACAAUAUCUUAUGUGUCAUCUUACACUCACACAACGACAGCUUUCCUAUUAGUUUCACUUUACUGUAGGUGUGUAAGGCAUGUUUAAUUCCCUAAGCCAGUUUCAUCGCUCGCAGGAGUGACACAGCAUGACUAGGCAACACCAUAAAAAAAAUAAUAAUAAUAAUUUAAAUCCCACAGACGUAUAAACAAUCGUUUAUAUUUA
Molecule: long non-coding RNA, 1225 nt
Organism: Ictalurus furcatus (blue catfish)
Lineage: Eukaryota; Metazoa; Chordata; Actinopteri; Siluriformes; Ictaluridae
Exons: 3
Source: RefSeq, a predicted model, not a curated record